UGGACUGCGUUGAAGACUGAAAUGCUCUGUUUAUCAACAGAACAGAUACAGCCCGGGAAGCGCCAGUGUAAUGUGCCAACGUGCCUAAACCCUGACCUGGAGGGACAGCCAUUGAGGACGAGAGGUCAGUUGAGUCACAGAGUCUCGGGCCAUAAAAGCU
RNAcentral lists this small RNA (160 nucleotides) under Carlito syrichta (Philippine tarsier). Its description in RNAcentral is "TUC338 (ENSTSYG00000029967.1)". The record is from RNAcentral. Lineage: Eukaryota; Metazoa; Chordata; Mammalia; Primates; Tarsiidae.